CGGCCAGACUCCUACGGGAGGCAGCAGUGGGGAAUAUUGCACAAUGGGCGCAAGCCUGAUGCAGCGACGCCGCGUGCGGGAUGGAGGCCUUCGGGUUGUAAACCGCAUUUGUUCAAGGGCAAGGCACGGUCUUUGGCCGUGUUGAGUGGGUUGUUCGAAUAAGCAUCGGCUAACUCCGUGCCAGCAGCCGCGGUAAUACGGAGGAUGCGAGCGUUAUCCGGAUUUAUUGGGUUUAAAGGGUGCGUGGGCGGAUUUUUAAGUCAGCGGGAAAAUGCCCGGGCUCAACCCGGGCCGGCCGUUGAAACUGGGGAUCUUGAGUGGGCGAGAAGUAUGCGGAAUGCGUGGUGUAGCGGUGAAAUGCAUAGAUAUCACGCAGAACUCCGAUUGCGAAGGCAGCAUACCGGCG
Molecule: ribosomal RNA, 406 nt
Filed under: uncultured bacterium
Lineage: Bacteria
Description: bacterial SSU rRNA
Rfam family: Bacterial small subunit ribosomal RNA
Source: RNAcentral